RNAcentral lists this ribosomal RNA (413 nucleotides) under uncultured Gammaproteobacteria bacterium. RNAcentral describes it as "bacterial SSU rRNA". It matches the Rfam family "Bacterial small subunit ribosomal RNA", at positions 370 to 779 of the family's 1533-position model. The record is from RNAcentral. Lineage: Bacteria; Pseudomonadati; Pseudomonadota; Gammaproteobacteria.
AAUGGACGAAAGUCUGACGGAGCGAUGCCGCGUGCGGGAUGAAGGCCUUCGGGUUGUAAACCGCUGUCAGUGGGGUGGAAUGCAGUGAGGCAAUCCUCAUUGUUUGACCUAACCGCAGAGGAAGUCCGGGCUAAGUACGUGCCAGCAGCCGCGGUAAUACGUACCGGACGAACGUUAUUCGGAAUCACUGGGCUUAAAGAGUACGUAGGCGGUCCUUCAGGUGGGGUGUGAAAGCCCACGGCUCAACCGUGGAAUUGCGCUCCAAACCGGAGGACUUGAGGGAGACAGGGGUAAGCGGAACUGAUGGUGGAGCGGUGAAAUGCGAUGAUAUCAUCAGGAACACCAGUGGCGAAGGCGGCUUACUGGGUCUCUUCUGACGCUGAGGUACGAAAGCUAGGGUAGCGAACGGGAUU